This 468-nucleotide ribosomal RNA is filed under the name uncultured bacterium. RNAcentral describes it as "partial 16S ribosomal RNA". It matches the Rfam family "Bacterial small subunit ribosomal RNA", at positions 28 to 507 of the family's 1533-position model. The record is from RNAcentral.
GACGAACGCUGGCGGCGUGCUUAACACAUGCAAGUCGAACGGAAAGGCCCUGCUUUUGUGGGGUGCUCGAGUGGCGAACGGGUGAGUAACACGUGUGUAACCUGCCCUUGACUUUGGGAUAACUUCAGGAAACUGGGGCUAAUACCGGAUAGGAGCUCCUGCUGCAUGGUGGGGGUGGGAAAGUUUGGGCGGUUGGGGAUGGACUCGCGGCUUAUCAGCUUGUUGGUGGGGGAGUGGCUUACCAAGGCUUUGACGGGUAGCCGGCCUGAGAGGGUGACCGGCCACAUUGGGACUGGGAUACGGCCCAGACUCCUACGGGGGGCAGCAGUGGGGAAUAUUGCACAAUGGGCGGAGGCCUGAUGCAGCAACGCCGCGUGCGGGAUGACGGCCUUCGGGUUGUAAACCGCUUUCGCCUGUGACGAAGCGUGAGUGACGGUAAUGGGUAAAGAAGCACCGGCUAACUACGUG